Long non-coding RNA from Octopus sinensis (East Asian common octopus), 258 nucleotides. RefSeq lists it as uncharacterized. The transcript is spliced from 2 exons. NCBI's taxonomy places the organism in Eukaryota, Metazoa, Mollusca, Cephalopoda, Octopoda, Octopodidae. The record is from RefSeq and is a predicted model, not a curated record.
UAUUUAUGUGUGUGUGUGUGUGUAUGUGUAUAUAUAUAUAUAUAUAUUUAUACAUAUAUAUUGAUAUGUGUAAUUAAUAGUUUGCUGUCACUAAAAUGUCUUUCAGUUUAUCGACAUAGAUUAUAUAUCAACUGUAUAACGACUAAGAAAAAUGCAACAAAACUAGCAUGUUCAUGUCUUUGGAAUUGUCUAGUUGUUGUUACAAUGUUAAAUGAACUAGAAACAAAAACAAUAAAAUAAAUGUAUAACCAUAUUCCA